CCUACGGGAGGCAGCAGUGAGGAAUAUUGGUCAAUGGACGAGAGUCUGAACCAGCCAAGUAGCGUGAAGGAUGACUGCCCUAUGGGUUGUAAACUUCUUUUAUAUGGGAAUAAAAUGUUCCACGUGUGGGAUUUUGUAUGUACCAUAUGAAUAAGGAUCGGCUAACUCCGUGCCAGCAGCCGCGGUAAUACGGAGGAUCCGAGCGUUAUCCGGAUUUAUUGGGUUUAAAGGGAGCGUAGGUGGAUUGUUAAGUCAGUUGUGAAAGUUUGCGGCUCAACCGUAAAAUUGCAGUUGAAACUGGCAGUCGUGAGUACAGUAGAGGUAGGCGGAAUGCGUGGUGUAGCGGUGAAAUGCUUAGAUAUCACGAAGAACUCCGAUUGCGAAGGCAGCUCACUGGACUGCAACUGACACUGAGGCUCGAAAGUGUGGGUAUCAAACAGGAUUAGAUACCCGAGUAGUC
This 460-nucleotide ribosomal RNA is filed under the name uncultured bacterium. RNAcentral's name for it is "partial 16S ribosomal RNA". It matches the Rfam family "Bacterial small subunit ribosomal RNA", at positions 338 to 795 of the family's 1533-position model. The record is from RNAcentral.